CUGCCGAGGCUGGAAAACUCCAAGACCCACCCACAGCUGUCUGACGCAGUGCGCAAACUCACUGCUGCACUUGUCUUCUUGCGCAUGCGCCUUCCCGUUGGCGUUCUCUGUGCAGACGCGUGGCACGCGAGCCGUUUGCUGCAAUCAUCUUUCCUCUUGAGACUAUUCAGUGCAAAACAUGAUUGAGAGAAUGAAAUCAGCAUCUUCAGUUACAGCAGAAGACAUAGCAGCAUGGAUCCAAGAGCCAAUUGAGCCUGAGGAGACCUUGCUGUUUGAGGAUGAAGAUUUUCUACUUGAAGAGGGGAACAUUCCAUAUGAUGAGGAUGUGGAAGAUGAGGAAGCACCUGAGGCUGAAGAGGCACCCAUGGAAGCUGAUGUCCAGGAACCUUCUCAGGCCCAGCAUCCACAGGAAGAAGAAGAACAUCCUGAAGUCAAUGAGGCACCAUAGCAUAUCGGGAGCCCUAGAAUGCCAGGAACAGGUGAAGCACACCCUGACGUUUAAAUGAAGACAACCUGAAUUCCUGCCAGUUGUACUUCCUUUGGAUACUUGAGUUCAAAUUCUCAAUAAAGUUUCUUUUUGUAAUUUUAUGUUCUGAU
Molecule: long non-coding RNA, 597 nt
Organism: Oryctolagus cuniculus (rabbit)
Lineage: Eukaryota; Metazoa; Chordata; Mammalia; Lagomorpha; Leporidae
Source: RefSeq, a predicted model, not a curated record